UACGUAGGCAGCGAGCGUUGUUCGGAGUUACUGGGCGUAAAGCGUGCGCAGGCGGCUUUGCAAGACAGAUGUGAAAUCCCCGGGCUUAACCUGGGAACUGCAUUUGUGACUGCAUGGCUGGAGUGCGGCAGAGGGGGAUGGAAUUCCGCGUGUAGCAGUGAAAUGCGUAGAUAUGCGGAGGAACACCGAUGGCGAAGGCAAUCCCCUGGGCCUGCACUGACGCUCAUGCACGAAAGCGUGGGGAGCAAACAGG
This 253-nucleotide ribosomal RNA is filed under the name uncultured bacterium. RNAcentral describes it as "partial 16S ribosomal RNA". It matches the Rfam family "Bacterial small subunit ribosomal RNA", at positions 524 to 776 of the family's 1533-position model. The record is from RNAcentral.